RNAcentral lists this ribosomal RNA (293 nucleotides) under uncultured bacterium. RNAcentral describes it as "partial 16S ribosomal RNA". It matches the Rfam family "Archaeal small subunit ribosomal RNA", at positions 455 to 747 of the family's 1478-position model. The record is from RNAcentral.
GUGCCAGCCGCCGCGGUGAUACCGGCAGCCCGAGUGAUGGCCGAUCUUAUUGGGCCUAAAGCAUCCGUAGCUGGCCGCGCAAGUCCAUCGGGAAAUCCACCCGCCCAACGGGUGGCCGUCCGGUGGAAACUGCACGGCUUGGGACCGGAAGGCGCGACGGGUACGUCCGGGGUAGGAGUGAAAUCCCGUAAUCCUGGACGGACCGCCGAUGGCGAAAGCACGUCGCGGAGACGGAUCCGACAGUGAGGGACGAAAGCUAGGGUCUCGAACCGGAUUAGAAACCCUAGUAGUCC